Molecule: ribosomal RNA, 450 nt
Filed under: uncultured bacterium
Lineage: Bacteria
Description: partial 16S ribosomal RNA
Rfam family: Bacterial small subunit ribosomal RNA
Source: RNAcentral
GUGGGGAAUUUUGGACAAUGGGGGCAACCCUGAUCCAGCAAUGCCGCGUGCAGGAAGAAGGCCUUCGGGUUGUAAACUGCUUUUGUACGGAACGAAACGGUCCUGGUUAAUACCUGGGGCUAAUGACGGUACCGUAAGAAUAAGCACCGGCUAACUACGUGCCAGCAGCCGCGGUAAUACGUAGGGUGCAAGCGUUAAUCGGAAUUACUGGGCGUAAAGCGUGCGCAGGCGGUUUUGUAAGACAGGCGUGAAAUCCCCGGGCUCAACCUGGGAAUGGCGCUUGUGACUGCAAGGCAGGAGUGCGGCAGAGGGGGAUGGAAUUCCGCGUGUAGCAGUGAAAUGCGUAGAUAUGCGGAGGAACACCGAUGGCGAAGGCAAUCCCCUGGGCCUGCACUGACGCUCAUGCACGAAAGCGUGGGGAGCAAACAGGAUUAGAUACCCCGGUAGUCC